This 765-nucleotide ribosomal RNA is filed under the name uncultured Streptococcus sp. RNAcentral describes it as "bacterial SSU rRNA". It matches the Rfam family "Bacterial small subunit ribosomal RNA", at positions 28 to 776 of the family's 1533-position model. The record is from RNAcentral. Lineage: Bacteria; Bacillati; Bacillota; Bacilli; Lactobacillales; Streptococcaceae.
GACGAACGCUGGCGGCGUGCCUAAUACAUGCAAGUAGAACGCUGAAGCUUGGUGCUUGCACCGAGCGGAUGAGUUGCGAACGGGUGAGUAACGCGUAGGUAACCUGCCUGGUAGCGGGGGAUAACUAUUGGAAACGAUAGCUAAUACCGCAUAAGAGUAGAUGUUGCAUGACAUUUGCUUAAAAGGUGCAAUUGCAUCACUACCAGAUGGACCUGCGUUGUAUUAGCUAGUUGGUGGGGUAACGGCUCACCAAGGCGACGAUACAUAGCCGACCUGAGAGGGUGAUCGGCCACACUGGGACCGAGACACGGCCCAGACUCCUACGGGAGGCAGCAGUAGGGAAUCUUCGGCAAUGGACGGAAGUCUGACCGAGCAACGCCGCGUGAGUGAAGAAGGUUUUCGGAUCGUAAAGCUCUGUUGUAAGAGAAGAACGAGUGUGAGAGUGGAAAGUUCACACUGUGACGGUAUCUUACCAGAAAGGGACGGCUAACUACGUGCCAGCAGCCGCGGUAAUACGUAGGUCCCGAGCGUUGUCCGGAUUUAUUGGGCGUAAAGCGAGCGCAGGCGGUUAGAUAAGUCUGAAGUUAAAGGCUGUGGCUUAACCAUAGUACGCUUUGGAAACUGUUUAACUUGAGUGCAAGAGGGGAGAGUGGAAUUCCAUGUGUAGCGGUGAAAUGCGUAGAUAUAUGGAGGAACACCGGUGGCGAAAGCGGCUCUCUGGCUUGUAACUGACGCUGAGGCUCGAAAGCGUGGGGAGCAAACAGG